CGACGUGAGGAACCUGCCUUCCAGAGGGGGACAACAGUUGGAAACGACUGCUAAUACCGCAUGACACAUGACCGUGGCAUCACGGACAUGUCAAAGAUUUAUCGCUGGAAGAUGGCCUCGCGUCUGAUUAGCUGGUAGGCGGGGUAACGGCCCACCUAGGCGACGAUCAGUAGCCGGACUGAGAGGUUGACCGGCCACAUUGGGACUGAGAUACGGCCCAGACUCCUACGGGAGGCAGCAG
RNAcentral lists this ribosomal RNA (241 nucleotides) under uncultured bacterium. Its description in RNAcentral is "partial 16S ribosomal RNA". It matches the Rfam family "Bacterial small subunit ribosomal RNA", at positions 113 to 354 of the family's 1533-position model. The record is from RNAcentral.